Molecule: microRNA, 22 nt
Filed under: Eisenia fetida (common brandling worm)
Lineage: Eukaryota; Metazoa; Annelida; Clitellata; Crassiclitellata; Lumbricidae
Description: Efe-Mir-1992-P3_3p (mature (guide))
Source: RNAcentral
UCAGCAGUUAUACCACUGAUGU